GACGAACGCUGGCGGCGUGCUUAACACAUGCAAGUCGAACGGAAAGGCCCUGCUUUUGUGGGGUGCUCGAGUGGCGAACGGGUGAGUAACACGUGAGUAACCUGCCCUUGACUUUGGGAUAACUUCAGGAAACUGGGGCUAAUACCGGAUAGGAGCUCCUGCUGCAUGGUGGGGGUUGGAAAGUUUCGGCGGUUGGGGAUGGACUCGCGGCUUAUCAGCUUGUUGGUGGGGUAGUGGCUUACCAAGGCUUUGACGGGUAGCCGGCCUGAGAGGGUGACCGGCCACAUUGGGCCUGGGAUACGGCCCAGACUCCUACGGGAGGCAGCAGUGGGGACUAUUGCACAAUGGGCGGAAGCAUGAUGCAGCAACGCCGCGUGCGGGAUGACGGCCUUCGGGUUGUAAACCGCUUUCGCCUGUGACGAAGCGUGAGUGACGGUACUGGGUAAAGAAGCACCGGCUAACUACGU
RNAcentral lists this ribosomal RNA (467 nucleotides) under uncultured bacterium. RNAcentral describes it as "partial 16S ribosomal RNA". It matches the Rfam family "Bacterial small subunit ribosomal RNA", at positions 28 to 506 of the family's 1533-position model. The record is from RNAcentral.